RNAcentral lists this ribosomal RNA (868 nucleotides) under uncultured bacterium. Its description in RNAcentral is "bacterial SSU rRNA". It matches the Rfam family "Bacterial small subunit ribosomal RNA", at positions 1 to 861 of the family's 1533-position model. The record is from RNAcentral.
GGCUUAGAGUUUGAUCAUGGCUCAGGAUGAACGCUAGCGACAGGCCUAACACAUGCAAGUCGAGGGGCAGCGGAGAGGUAGCAAUACCUUUGCCGGCGACCGGCGCACGGGUGAGUAACACGUAUGCAAUCCACCUGUAACAGGGGGAUAACCCGGAGAAAUCCGGACUAAUACCCCAUAAUAUGGGCUCUCCGCAUGGAGGGUCCAUUAAAGAGAGCAAUUUUGGUUACAGACGAGCAUGCGCUCCAUUAGCCAGUUGGCGGGGUAACGGCCCACCAAAGCGACGAUGGAUAGGGGUUCUGAGAGGAAGGUCCCCCACAUUGGAACUGAGACACGGUCCAAACUCCUACGGGAGGCAGCAGUGAGGAAUAUUGGUCAAUGGUCGGCAGACUGAACCAGCCAAGUCGCGUGAGGGAAGACGGCCCUACGGGUUGUAAACCUCUUUUGUCGGAGAGUAAAGUACGCUACGUGUAGCGUAUUGCAAGUAUCCGAAGAAAAAGCAUCGGCUAACUCCGUGCCAGCAGCCGCGGUAAUACGGAGGAUGCGAGCGUUAUCCGGAUUUAUUGGGUUUAAAGGGUGCGUAGGCGGCACGCCAAGUCAGCGGUGAAAUUUUCGGGCUCAACCCGGACUGUGCCGUUGAAACUGGCGAGCUAGAGUGCACAAGAGGCAGGCGGAAUGCGUGGUGUAGCGGUGAAAUGCAUAGAUAUCACGCAGAACCCCGAUUGCGAAGGCAGCCUGCUAGGGUGCGACAGACGCUGAGGCACGAAAGCGUGGGUAUCGAACAGGAUUAGAUACCCUGGUAGUUCACGCAGUAAACGAUGAAUACUAACUGUUUGCGAUACAAUGUAAGCGGUACAGCGAAAGCGUU